UACUACAAUUUUUGAAAUAGGUUGUUUAAACCAGCCUACUGGCACAGAAGUUUUCUAAUCACCUCAAAAAAAAAAAAAUCCCCAAAACCACAAAAAAAAUCACAAAUAUUUUUCUGGAGGUACUUUACAUGAGCAUGGCAUCCGGGCUUGGGGGACCAGGGAGCAAUGCAAGUCUGGAUAAGUGUGCAACUGUUAAUGUGCCCUUGGAACAGAGAAUGAUGUUCAGGCAAUGUGCUAGUCUCUUAUUUUAGAAAUACAUAUUUAUAUUUACAAAAAUCUUACAAGAGGUUAAAAGAAGUGUUGGUGGGAUGUUAGAUCACUGAAUCCAUUUGCCAUAUAAGGAAUCUGGGUUGUCUCUGCUUGUCAAACUUCAGCUGACUGAAAGGUAAUGACCUUUUGAGCCAGCAGCGGCAAUUGCCUUAGAGACUGCCUAGUCAAGCAGUCGAAUGUUUUUAUAUAUCUGCUGGCCCUUGCAGACUCCCUGCCAGUUUAUCAGGAGAUAGACCUGAUUUGCUUUUACAACACCUCAGUGAUUUAUAUCCUGGAAUAUUCUUGAAUUCUUUUGGUUGUAAGAGCAGUCCAUUGUCUAUUAAGACUUUAUCCUUGAUGCAUCUGGCGACUGUCCAGGGCAGUCUGCUACUGUAUGUACACAGAGAAGACUUGGAAUUGUCAUCCAAAAUCAUUCAGAAUCUUCAUCAAUACCUUUAUCUGUGCAAAAAAAAAAAAACCUGUCCUCAUAAAAAAAAAAAAAAAGCAACGAAUAAACUAGAGUUUAUUGGCACCAGGGACAAUUGUCACUCCUUUAUGAAUGUCCUCUCACCACCUCAACCUGUUUGUGCCCAUUGAGUGUCCUCAGGGUUAUGUUUGACUGUAGCUUCCACUAGCUGCGGUUGUUCCCUUUUCAUUCCACAAAUAGCAGCACUUUAAAAUGUUUUAUUUUUGGUACUUUAAUAGGAAGAGCAAUAUAGUGAACGAUGCACUAACUAAUGAGGACAUCUCUUAAUUUGACAGACUAAUGUGACACAUUUUUAUUAAAAUAAUUUCAUCCAAGCACUUUAUUUCUAAGAAGGCAAGUAAAUGGGCAAAGCAUAAAGGCAGUGUAAACAAAUGGCAGAUAUUUUACCUUUCUGCAAUGAUUUUAGGAGAGAUUGCAGCUUGAUGCAAAGCAAAAUAGCUGAGCCCAGUUUUACUAUGAAUGAAUACUGCACAACUCAUGUGUAACAGCUCUCCUAUACAAAUUUGCAAAGCAAAAUCAGCUUCUGGAUUUGAAAUACAGGAAGGACUAGAAGUUGAAUUUCGGAGCAGAGCCUGACAUUGUAUCUGGCAAGAUCAAAGGAAGUGAAUAUAUUUUUCAUUUAUGCUUGGAUUAUGUUUCAUUUAACUUCACAGCUAGUUUACAGAACCAACAAUAAAAGACCUGAUAGAAAAUCACAUGUCACCAAAAGCCAGGCAAUCUCAUAAAAAUGGGAAGCUGGACAGGACAAACGCAGAUCUGAACCAAUGUGAUUAAUCAAAUGUUCUCCCUUUAUUCAAGAAAAGAUUGUAGUUUACAUAAGCUUCUACAUAGUUUACAGAAACAAAGGCACUCUGAUUGGCACACUAACAUUGUUUACCUUUUCCUUAAGGUGGCCAAACUUUUCACACUGCAGCUCUACUCUAAUUCAUGCUCGGGUAGCUCAUUACUUUGUAGUUACCUUAACAUAAUUUCUGACUGCUCCACAACUGAAUUCUCACUGCAUCAAAGGCUUCAAGGCCGCUUAUCGGGGCCUAGUCUGACUGGGUAGCUCAAACCUCAUUCCAAACAUAAAUCAUGGCCUCUGUCUCUCAAAAAUUCUGUAACAGUCACCUGAUAAACAAGAAAAAAGGUGAACAUGACUGGAGGGAGUAAUAAUCUACUGAGGGAAUGUAGACAUGUAUGGUAUGCAAGGUUUUAAUGAAACCACAGGCUAUGACAAAAUCCAUUCAGUCCAGGUAUUGCCCCAAGAAAUCAAUUUUUUUUUGUCACAGGCUUGUGACACCUGGCAUUGUGCAAAGAGUUUUGAUAAAAGGGAUUAUGUUCAAACAAAAAAGCUUAUCCUUUAAUAAACUGUGGCUGCAUUUCUGAUGCUGUUGUCGAGACUGACCUCAAAAGGCCUUGUCUGUCUCCUGAGUUGCCAGCUAAUAUUGCUUAAAUUUGCCAGUGUACUUGUUAUUCUGUGGGUGGGGAAGUACAGACAAAGAAGUUGAAGUUCAAGGCAAUACAGACAGACUUUUAACAUUGACCCCAUAAAAUUUGGCUGAGGUAUUAGCUAGCUGGUUAGGAAUGGAAAAGUUUCCAAAAUGACCCUCAGCUUCUAGCACAUUAUCUGAUAACUCCUGAAAGUUCUUCAUCCAUCAGAAGUCUUGAAACAUGAAAUGCUUAGGGGCACCAUUCACAGUCCCUGAGAAACAGUAAACAGGAUGGGGAUAUCAAGCAGGCCUGUAGGAACAGAGAUAGUGCAGGGUCAUAUCACAGAAUCAUAGAACCAUUGAAUGUUUGGGUUGGAGGCGACCUUAAAUUUGACCUAGUUCUGACUCCCCUGCCAUGGGCAAGGACAUCUUUCACUAAAACAGAUUGCUCAGAACCCCAGAUGAACUGUCCUUCAACAAAUCCAGGGAUAGGCAUCAACAGCUUCAUAGGACAACCCAAGGCUAUUCCUUAGGUCUUCCCUAACCCUUCUUUUUAAUAAUCUCAGCUCGAGCCCUCCUAUCACCUUUAUGACUGUUCUGGACUGACUCCAACAGGUCCAUGUCAUUCUUACGUUGGGUACUCAUCUUCAGGGCAGACAGGGACAGGACAGGAAUGUCUGCCUACAUGUUUAUCUCACACUGACCUUGGUCCUCAGACAUUGCUGAGAAUGGCAGAGCCCAGGCAUGGGAAUGGUUUCGCAGAGUAAUGUUGCUACCAGGCAUAGAAGCCUUUCUAUAAAAGAAUAGACAGUUUUUACAGCUUGUUGGGUGCAGGAGCAGGCAGUUCCUAAAUGUUGAAAGAAACAUACGCAACGGAGAUGCCUGGCUUGGUUGAGCAGGGAUUUUCUCUUGGAAAUAAGGUGAACAAGAUGCGCAGUGGAAGCAAGGUCAGGUGCCAUGGGAAGGAGACAGAGAUGCUGCUCACCACUUUAGGGAGAAAAAGUGCAGCCAAAGCUCAUCGGGAGUUAAAGCUGGCCAGAAUUGUGGGGGACGUUAAGAAGAGGUUUCUCAAAUAUAUUAAUGGAAAAAGGCGGUGUAGAAAUAUCAUCAGCGUUUUACAGGAUGAGGAUGGUCACGUCACAGACAGGGACAUGGACAAGGCAGAAGUGUUUAAUGCAUUCUUUGCCUCUGUAUUCAGCACGGAUCCAGGGGGGUGUCAGUUACUGAGCUGGAGGACCAAGGCUCUGAGAAUGAUCAACACAAUCACAGCCCAAUUAACCUUGAGAUUGCACAGGCUCUGCUGCUUCAGCUGAAUCCCUAUAAAUCUAUAGGCCUUGAUGAAAUUCAUCCAAGAAUCCUCAAAGAGCUGGCUGAUAUCAUUGCAAAACCUCUCUUGAUGAUACUUGGGGAUCUGGAGAGGUCCCAGCUCAUUGAAAGCUGUCAAAUGUUUUCCUAACUUUCAAGAAGGACAAGAAGGAUGACACUGGAAACUACAUGCCUAUCAGUCUCACUUCCAUGCCUUGUAGAGUUAUGGAGAAGAUUAUUCUGGGAAGUAUUGAAAAUUACCUGGACAACACCAUAGCCAUUAUCACAGCCAGCACAUCCUCAUGAGUGGAAAGUCCAGUUUUCCAACCUGAUUUCCUGUUACAACAAGGUAACCUGUUUGGUUGAUCAAGGGAAGCCAGUUAAUGUGAUUUUUAAAAAAAAUUUAUAAAGCUUUUAAUAUUGUUUCUCUCAGGACCCUUCUGGAGAAAAUGUGCAGCCCACAGCUGGAUAAACACAUCAUGUGGUGAGUGAGCAGCUGCUCAUGGGUCAGGCACAAAGGGCAACAGUGAAUGGGGUGACAUCAGACUGGUGUGACCUGUCACUAGUGGGGUUCCACAGGGCUCCAUCCUUGUCCCACUUCUCUUGAACAUCUUCAUAAAUGAGCUGGAUGCAGGACUGGAAGGACUACUAAGCCAGUUUGCUGAUGACAUUAAACUGAGAUGAGCUGCUGACUUUCUUGAGGGCAGGGAGGAUCUUCGGAGAGACCUUGACAAACUACAGGAAAUCACCAGCCAUACGAGGUUUAACAAGGAUUCUGCAUCUGGGAUGGUGCAACCCUGGAUGUGUGUAUAGACUGGGCAACAAGAGAGAGAGCAGCACUGUGGAAAGGGACCUGGAGGUCCUGGCUGAUGGCAAGCUGAAUGUAAGCCAGCAGUGCCCUGGCAGCCAGGAGGGCCAAUGGGCCCAUGGGGCAUCAGGGACAGCAUUGCCAGCCAGGCAAGAGAGGGGAUUGUCCUGCUCUGCUCUGAGCUGGGGCAGCCUCACCUCGAGUGCUGGGGCGUUUUCACAAUAUUAAAAAAACAUGGAGCUGUUAGAGAUUGUCUGAAGCUUCAUGCUUUGCCAUGAAGAUGAUGAAUAGUCUGGAGAGGAAGCUGUGUGAGAAGUGGCUGAGGUGAUUUGGUCUGUUCAUCCUGGAAGAGACUGAGGGGAGACCUCACUGAGGUCUUCAACAUCCACACAAGCAAAACAGGGGAACAGGCACCAACCCCUUCACUCUUGUGACCAGUGACAGAUCUCAAGGAAAUGGCAUGAUGCCGAAUCAGGGCAGAUUUAGGCUGGAUAUCAGGAAAAGGUUUUUAAUCCAGGGGGUGGUUGGGCACUGGAAUGUAUUUCCCGGGAGAGUGGUCACAGCACCAAGCCUGACAGAGUUCAAUAAACAUUUGGAAAACACUUUCAGGUGCAUUGUGUGAUUCUUGGGGUGGCCAGGAGUUGGAUGUGAUGAUCCUGAUAAUUUCCUUCCAACUCAGGAUAUUCUAUGAUUUUGUAACUUGGAGGUCUGAGUUCAGAAAUGCAGGUGAAGGUGCUAAGUUAGAAAGGAUUUUUCUGCUGUUGAGAUGUCAGGGUGAAGGAAAACCACACUGUACUUGCCAAAACAGAAUACACACCAUCCUGCAAAUGGCUGAGAAAAUGAACUGACCUAUCUUUACCCAGAUUAUCAGUUUCUUGCAGCUAUGUAGGCUCCAGGAUGGAUGGAUGGAUGGAUCUCUCAGCAGAACAAAAAUGAGUGUACAUUCAUUCACUUCCAAUGUGUCACUCCUACUGAGACAGCAUUUGUGGAGGUCUGUUCCAGAAAAUUUCACUGACUAAAAGGGCUACAAAGGGUAUAAAGUUAACUGCUUAUGACAGCAAGAGAAAUUAAGAAGAACAUGGCAUAAACGAAGAAAUCGGUAAAAAAAUUAAAUAUUUUUAAUCAACAUGCCAUUCUUUAUAUGGAAUCGAUGUGCUGUGUAAGUGUAUCAAAUAUAGUGUAUUCCUCUUCCCUUUCUUCUUCUGUUAGUUUGGCUUCAAUCUGAUAAUUCUUAAUACAUAUUUAAGAAUGUUCAGCUGGGACAAUUUGCAAAGCUAAAAGGAUAAUUACAGGCUUGGGUUUUACUUCUUGGGGGAUAAUUUGUUAUAGGUCUUAUACAUUUCACUUUGGCAAGUGAGAAUUUUUCACCAGUGGAUAAAAUUAUAAGGGGAAUUCAGAAAAUAUUCCUUCUCCUUGAACACAUUGCAGUGAUUUAAUGAGAUUAACUCAUACAGUACAAAUAGCCCAACCCUGUCCAAAUGCAAACACUUCUUCCUCCUCCUUGUUUCUUAGCAAUUAUUGUUUUAAUUAGAACUCUUCAUGAUACCUACUGUUUGACAAUGGAGUUCUUUCCUUUGUUGAUCCCAACUCAGUUGGUGUUUAAAUUGCCAAAAAGUUUUGAAGUUUAGCCCAAAAGCAGCUAUAACCCAUCAGGAAGUCUGCUUUACUCCAGUCUGCUUGCAAAGAUUUGUGCAAUACUUAAAUCUGGAAUCUUUGCAGAACAAGAUGCUUGCCUUUGUAAACAAAACUGUAGCAUACAGCACACCUGCCUUUCCCCCCUGUUUGUAUCUUUUGCCAUUGUGAAAAAAAGUAAAUUGAAAACUUCAUAGGUUCAGAACUGUGGAGGAUAGGCUAUCCUCAGAACUAUUAGCCCAAUUAAUCAAUUUAUUUAUGAAUUAUACUUUUAUGCUUUGACCUUGAAGAGAUCAUAAUUCUGAUAAAAUAUAAAUGCUUUAUGUACAGGAUUAUAUAUCAAUGCUUUAUAUACAGGAUUGGCUUCUGGACCUCAGUGAAAUGGAAUAAGUGCCUAGCCUGUUUGUCUGUUUAAAAAAAAACCCAUGCAACUGCUGUUUUCAGAGGAAGACUAGCUUUCAGCAGAUAACUAGGGCUACCAAUAGCCUUUUGUUUCCUUUUUACUCUCAUAGCUCAGCCAAAGUUGAAUCGGUUUGCUCAAUAUUUAGUAAUUCACGUAAAAAGAAUUUUGGAAUUUAUUUGUUAAGUGGGCUAUUUUCAGAACUGUCUAUUCCCAAAGAAUAUUCAAGGCAAUAUUAUGUUGCCUUAAUGCCUGCUUCUGUUCGAGGUCUGUUCUUUGAUAACAGCAGGCUGGACUAGCACCUGAAAAAGUAAAUGUGCUUUAUUUAGUUACACUAGGGGAUCAAAAUUGCUGUGCACAGCUAAGGUCAUGGCAGAAUGAAGUAGCCGAGGGCACAAAUCUUCUUUUCAUGUUCUUCCAGGUUCAGUAAUCCCUGGAUUAUUUAUUUUUCCUUUUCAUGGGAUAACUCUGAAGAUAACUAAAUUUUAAGAAGUAUUACUUAAUGCUUUGGACUCCAGAGCAGUGAACAGCACCACCCCAGCCCCCAUGAUCUCCCCUACCUCCACCCAAAAAAAAAAAAAAAAACCAGAAGAAAAAGCAAAGCAAGCAAAUAAGUAAAUAAAAACAUUUCCAAAAAAUUCAGAAGCUUAAUGCUUUGAAUUUUAGAGAAAAAAAAAAAAGAAAAAAACAAAAAAAAAA
RNAcentral lists this long non-coding RNA (6992 nucleotides) under Taeniopygia guttata (zebra finch). RNAcentral's name for it is "lncRNA (ENSTGUG00000021066.1)". The record is from RNAcentral. Lineage: Eukaryota; Metazoa; Chordata; Aves; Passeriformes; Estrildidae.